Molecule: long non-coding RNA, 390 nt
Organism: Rhodamnia argentea
Lineage: Eukaryota; Viridiplantae; Streptophyta; Magnoliopsida; Myrtales; Myrtaceae
Exons: 3
Source: RefSeq, a predicted model, not a curated record
UGUCUAUUUUUGUUGAUAUUUGUCUAACAUUUCUAUUUGUCAGUAUUAUAGACGUGGAGGUCACAUGCGUGGUGCAUUUUCACAAGGAAAGCGAGCGGCCCCUUCACAUUCGCCUUCCCCUUCCUCGUCCUCAUCCCCGUCCCAGUAAUCUUCCCCUUCCCUUUCAUCUCACCCUCCACCACUACAUGUUAACCCUCCAUCUGCCUCGGUUCCACCUUCUCUAGUGGCACAAUCGAAUGAUCGGGAGAGCUUAGCUGCAUAAGAUAGCCGACGUGUGAUAUGCCCACAGGGAGACUCGUAAAUUUGAAGAUGCUACGGAUGUCGUGCGGGAACUUAAUAAAAUAACGAAUAACUAUUGAAGAGGCCCGUGGAUUAGCAGCUUACUGUAGA